CGCGGCCUAUCAGCUUGUUGGUGAGGUAACGGCUCACCAAGGCAUCGACGGGUAGCUGGUCUGAGAGGAUGAUCAGCCACACUGGGACUGAGACACGGCCCAGACUCCUACGGGAGGCAGCAGUGGGGAAUAUUGCACAAUGGGCGCAAGCCUGAUGCAGCAACGCCGCGUGCGGGAUGAAGGCCCUAGGGUUGUAAACCGCUUUCAGCAGGGAAGAAAAUGACGGUACCUGCAGAAGAAGGUGCGGCCAACUACGUGCCAGCAGCCGCGGUGACACGUAGGCACCAAGCGUUGUCCGGAUUUAUUGGGCGUAAAGAGCUCGUAGGCGGUUCAGUAAGUCGGGUGUGAAAACUCUGGGCUCAACCCAGAGACGCCACCCGAUACUGCUGUGACUUGAGUACGGUAGGGGAGCGGGGAAUUCCUGGUGUAGCGGUGAAAUGCGCAGAUAUCAGGAGGAACACCAGUGGCGAAGGCGCCGCUCUGGGCCGUAACUGACGCUGAGGAGCGAAAGCGUGGGUAGCAAACAGGAUUAGAUACCCUGGUAGUCCACGCCGUAAACGUUGGGCACUAGGUGUGGGUCUCAACCAACGAGAUCCGCGCCGUCGCUAACGCAUUAAGUGCCCCGCCUGGGGAGUACGG
This 639-nucleotide ribosomal RNA is filed under the name uncultured bacterium. Its description in RNAcentral is "bacterial SSU rRNA". It matches the Rfam family "Bacterial small subunit ribosomal RNA", at positions 232 to 885 of the family's 1533-position model. The record is from RNAcentral.